Molecule: ribosomal RNA, 2900 nt
Filed under: Klebsiella pneumoniae
Lineage: Bacteria; Pseudomonadati; Pseudomonadota; Gammaproteobacteria; Enterobacterales; Enterobacteriaceae
Description: bacterial LSU rRNA
Rfam family: Bacterial large subunit ribosomal RNA
Source: RNAcentral
UUAAGCGACUAAGCGUACACGGUGGAUGCCCUGGCAGUCAGAGGCGAUGAAGGACGUGCUAAUCUGCGAAAAGCGUCGGUAAGGUGAUAUGAACCGUUACAGCCGGCGAUGUCCGAAUGGGGAAACCCAGUGCAAUUCGUUGCACUAUCGUUAACUGAAUACAUAGGUUAACGAGGCGAACCGGGGGAACUGAAACAUCUAAGUACCCCGAGGAAAAGAAAUCAACCGAGAUUCCCCCAGUAGCGGCGAGCGAACGGGGAGCAGCCCAGAGUCUGAAUCAGCUUGUGUGUUAGUGGAACGGUCUGGAAAGUCCGACGGUACAGGGUGAUAGUCCCGUACACCAAAAUGCACAGGCUGUGAACUCGAAGAGUAGGGCGGGACACGUGGUAUCCUGUCUGAAUAUGGGGGGACCAUCCUCCAAGGCUAAAUACUCCUGACUGACCGAUAGUGAACCAGUACCGUGAGGGAAAGGCGAAAAGAACCCCGGCGAGGGGAGUGAAAAAGAACCUGAAACCGUGUACGUACAAGCAGUGGGAGCACCUUCGGGUGUGACUGCGUACCUUUUGUAUAAUGGGUCAGCGACUUAUAUUCUGUAGCAAGGUUAACCGUAUAGGGGAGCCGCAGGGAAACCGAGUCUUAACUGGGCGUUAAGUUGCAGGGUAUAGACCCGAAACCCGGUGAUCUAGCCAUGGGCAGGUUGAAGGUUGGGUAACACUAACUGGAGGACCGAACCGACUAAUGUUGAAAAAUUAGCGGAUGACUUGUGGCUGGGGGUGAAAGGCCAAUCAAACCGGGAGAUAGCUGGUUCUCCCCGAAAGCUAUUUAGGUAGCGCCUCGUGAAUUCAUCUUCGGGGGUAGAGCACUGUUUCGGCUAGGGGGUCAUCCCGACUUACCAACCCGAUGCAAACUACGAAUACCGAAGAAUGUUAUCACGGGAGACACACGGCGGGUGCUAACGUCCGUCGUGAAGAGGGAAACAACCCAGACCGCCAGCUAAGGUCCCAAAGUCAUGGUUAAGUGGGAAACGAUGUGGGAAGGCACAGACAGCCAGGAUGUUGGCUUAGAAGCAGCCAUCAUUUAAAGAAAGCGUAAUAGCUCACUGGUCGAGUCGGCCUGCGCGGAAGAUGUAACGGGGCUAAACCAUGCACCGAAGCUGCGGCAGCGACACUAUGUGUUGUUGGGUAGGGGAGCGUUCUGUAAGCCUGCGAAGGUGACCUGUGAGGGUUGCUGGAGGUAUCAGAAGUGCGAAUGCUGACAUAAGUAACGAUAAAGCGGGUGAAAAGCCCGCUCGCCGGAAGACCAAGGGUUCCUGUCCAACGUUAAUCGGGGCAGGGUGAGUCGACCCCUAAGGCGAGGCCGAAAGGCGUAGUCGAUGGGAAACAGGUUAAUAUUCCUGUACUUGGUGUUACUGCGAAGGGGGGACGGAGAAGGCUAUGUUAGCCGGGCGACGGUUGUCCCGGUUUAAGCAUGUAGGCUGGUUGUCCAGGCAAAUCCGGAUAAUCAAGGCUGAGGUGUGAUGACGAGGCACUACGGUGCUGAAGUAACAAAUGCCCUGCUUCCAGGAAAAGCCUCUAAGCAUCAGGUAACAUCAAAUCGUACCCCAAACCGACACAGGUGGUCAGGUAGAGAAUACCAAGGCGCUUGAGAGAACUCGGGUGAAGGAACUAGGCAAAAUGGUGCCGUAACUUCGGGAGAAGGCACGCUGGUGUGUAGGUGAAGUCCCUGCGGAUGGAGCUGAGACCAGUCGAAGAUACCAGCUGGCUGCAACUGUUUAUUAAAAACACAGCACUGUGCAAACACGAAAGUGGACGUAUACGGUGUGACGCCUGCCCGGUGCCGGAAGGUUAAUUGAUGGGGUUAUCCGUAAGGAGAAGCUCUUGAUCGAAGCCCCGGUAAACGGCGGCCGUAACUAUAACGGUCCUAAGGUAGCGAAAUUCCUUGUCGGGUAAGUUCCGACCUGCACGAAUGGCGUAAUGAUGGCCAGGCUGUCUCCACCCGAGACUCAGUGAAAUUGAACUCGCUGUGAAGAUGCAGUGUACCCGCGGCAAGACGGAAAGACCCCGUGAACCUUUACUAUAGCUUGACACUGAACAUUGAGCCUUGAUGUGUAGGAUAGGUGGGAGGCUUUGAAGCGUGGACGCCAGUCUGCGUGGAGCCAACCUUGAAAUACCACCCUUUAAUGUUUGAUGUUCUAACGUUGGCCCCUGACCGGGGUUGCGGACAGUGUCUGGUGGGUAGUUUGACUGGGGCGGUCUCCUCCCAAAGCGUAACGGAGGAGCACGAAGGUUAGCUAAUCCUGGUCGGACAUCAGGAGGUUAGUGCAAUGGCAUAAGCUAGCUUGACUGCGAGCGUGACGGCGCGAGCAGGUGCGAAAGCAGGUCAUAGUGAUCCGGUGGUUCUGAAUGGAAGGGCCAUCGCUCAACGGAUAAAAGGUACUCCGGGGAUAACAGGCUGAUACCGCCCAAGAGUUCAUAUCGACGGCGGUGUUUGGCACCUCGAUGUCGGCUCAUCACAUCCUGGGGCUGAAGUAGGUCCCAAGGGUAUGGCUGUUCGCCAUUUAAAGUGGUACGCGAGCUGGGUUUAGAACGUCGUGAGACAGUUCGGUCCCUAUCUGCCGUGGGCGCUGGAGAAUUGAGGGGGGCUGCUCCUAGUACGAGAGGACCGGAGUGGACGCAUCACUGGUGUUCGGGUUGUCAUGCCAAUGGCACUGCCCGGUAGCUAAAUGCGGAAGAGAUAAGUGCUGAAAGCAUCUAAGCACGAAACUUGCCCCGAGAUGAGUUCUCCCUGAGACUUUAAGUCUCCUGAAGGAACGUUGAAGACGACGACGUUGAUAGGCCGGGUGUGUAAGCGCAGCGAUGCGUUGAGCUAACCGGUACUAAUGAACCGUGAGGCUUAACCUU